UCUGACCUCAGAUCAGGUAGGACUACCCGCUGAACUUAA
RNAcentral lists this ribosomal RNA (39 nucleotides) under Bulleribasidium siamense. Its description in RNAcentral is "partial 26S ribosomal RNA gene". The record is from RNAcentral. Lineage: Eukaryota; Fungi; Basidiomycota; Tremellomycetes; Tremellales; Bulleribasidiaceae.